Mola mola (ocean sunfish) is the source of this 93-nucleotide small nucleolar RNA. Its record names the gene SNORD14. It matches the Rfam family "Small nucleolar RNA SNORD14". From Rfam's summary of the family: U14 small nucleolar RNA (U14 snoRNA) is required for early cleavages of eukaryotic precursor rRNAs. In yeasts, this molecule possess a stem-loop region (known as the Y-domain) which is essential for function. Lineage: Eukaryota; Metazoa; Chordata; Actinopteri; Tetraodontiformes; Molidae. The record is from Ensembl.
UCGCUGUGAUGACGACAUUUCCUGCCAUUCGUAGUUUCCACCAGAGGUCAGCAGACCAAAGACGGCACAAAUCUUCCUUGGAUGUCUGAGCGA